This 633-nucleotide ribosomal RNA is filed under the name Suillus hirtellus. RNAcentral's name for it is "eukaryotic LSU rRNA". The stretch from base 218 to 372 matches the Rfam family "5.8S ribosomal RNA". The record is from RNAcentral. Lineage: Eukaryota; Fungi; Basidiomycota; Agaricomycetes; Boletales; Suillaceae.
CAUUAAAGAAAUAAUCUCGAGGGCCUUCGGAAAGGAGAGAGGGUUGUAGCUGGCGUAAGCAACGUGCACGCCCUCUUUCUCGACCUGGGUCCUUAUGGGCGCGGGGCGACCCGCGUCUUCAUAAGCCCCUUCGUGUAGAAAGUCUAUGAAUGUUUUUUUACCAUCAUCGACUCGCGACUUCUAGGAGACGCGAUUCUUUGAGACAAAAGUUUAUUACAACUUUCAGCAAUGGAUCUCUUGGCUCUCGCAUCGAUGAAGAACGCAGCGAAUCGCGAUAUGUAAUGUGAAUUGCAGAUCUACAGUGAAUCAUCGAAUCUUUGAACGCACCUUGCGCUUAUCGGUGUUCCGAUGAGCAUGCCUGUUUGAGCGUCAUUAAAUUCUCAACCCCUCUCGAUUUGCUUCGAGAGGGCGCUUGGAUUGUGGAGGCUGCCGGAGACCUGUUUUUCAGGACUCGGGCUCCUCUGAAAUGUAUUGGCUUGCGGUCGACUUUCGACUGUGCAUGACAAGGCCUUUGGCGUGAUAAUGAUCGCCGCUCGCCGAAGUGCACGAACGAACGGUCUCGUGCCUCUAAUCAGUCGACGCCUUUUCGAAGGAGUCUUCCUUAUCGACGUUUGACCUCAAAUCAGGUAGGAC